This 71-nucleotide transfer RNA is filed under the name Loxodonta africana (African savanna elephant). It matches the Rfam family "tRNA". From Rfam's summary of the family: Transfer RNA (tRNA) molecules are approximately 80 nucleotides in length. Their secondary structure includes four short double-helical elements and three loops (D, anti-codon, and T loops). Lineage: Eukaryota; Metazoa; Chordata; Mammalia; Proboscidea; Elephantidae. The record is from Rfam by way of RNAcentral.
ACAUUGGUGGUUCGGUGGUAGAAUUCUUGCCUUGCAUGCAGAAAAGCCUGGUUCAAUUCCCAGCCGAUGCA